Molecule: ribosomal RNA, 433 nt
Filed under: uncultured bacterium
Lineage: Bacteria
Description: partial 16S ribosomal RNA
Rfam family: Bacterial small subunit ribosomal RNA
Source: RNAcentral
AACGAACGCUGGCGGCAUGCCUAACACAUGCAAGUCGAACGAGACCUUCGGGUCUAGUGGCGCACGGGUGCGUAACGCGUGGGAACCUGCCCUUAGGUUCGGAAUAACUCCCCGAAAGGGGUGCUAAUAACGGAUAAUGUCUUCGGACCACAGAUUUGUCGCCUUUGGAUGGGCCCGCGUUGGAUUAGCUAGUUGGUAGGGUAAAAGCCUACCAAGGCGACGAUCCAUAGCUGGGCUGAGAGGAUGAGCAGCCACACUGGGACUGGGACACGGCCCAGACUCCUACGGGAGGCAGCAGUGGGGAAUAUUGGACAAUGGGCUAAAGCCUGAUCCAGCAAGGCCGCGUGAGUGAUGAAGGCCUUAGGGUUGUAAAGCUCUUUUACCCGGGAUGAUAAUGACAGUACCGGGAGAAUAAGCUCCGGCUAACUCCGUG